Molecule: ribosomal RNA, 253 nt
Filed under: uncultured bacterium
Lineage: Bacteria
Description: partial 16S ribosomal RNA
Rfam family: Bacterial small subunit ribosomal RNA
Source: RNAcentral
UACAGAGGGGGCAAGCGUUAUUCGGAAUUAUUGGGCGUAAAGGGCGCGUAGGCGGCUUGGCAAGUGGAUGGUGAAAUCCCUCGGCUUAACCGAGGAACGGCCGUCCAAACUGCUUCGCUUGAGACCGGGAGAGGUGAGUGGAAUUCCCAGUGUAGCGGUGAAAUGCGUAGAUAUUGGGAGGAACACCAGUGGCGAAGGCGGCUCACUGGACCGGUACUGACGCUGAAGCGCGAAAGCGUGGGUAGCAAACAGG